GGUCGGAUAGCUCAGUCGGUUGGAGCAUGGUGCUAAUAACGCUAAGGUGAUGGCUUCGAUCCCCACUCUGACCA
Molecule: transfer RNA, 74 nt
Filed under: Trichuris muris
Lineage: Eukaryota; Metazoa; Nematoda; Enoplea; Trichinellida; Trichuridae
Description: snRNA TMUE_0100000245
Rfam family: tRNA
About the family: Transfer RNA (tRNA) molecules are approximately 80 nucleotides in length. Their secondary structure includes four short double-helical elements and three loops (D, anti-codon, and T loops).
Source: RNAcentral